UACGAGGGGGGCAAGCGUUGUUCGGAAUUAUUGGGCGUAAAGGGCGCGUAGGCGGUGCGGUAAGUCACCUGUGAAAUCUCCGGGCUUAACUCGGAGCCUGCAGGCGAAACUGCCGUGCUUGAGUGUGGGAGAGGUGCGUGGAAUUCCCGGUGUAGCGGUGAAAUGCGUAGAUAUCAAGAGGAACACCUGAGGUGAAGACGGGUUGCUGGGCUGACACUGACGCUGAGGCGCGAAAGCCAGGGGAGCAAACGGG
This 253-nucleotide ribosomal RNA is filed under the name uncultured prokaryote. RNAcentral describes it as "partial 16S ribosomal RNA". It matches the Rfam family "Bacterial small subunit ribosomal RNA", at positions 524 to 776 of the family's 1533-position model. The record is from RNAcentral.